This is a non-coding RNA of Callithrix jacchus (white-tufted-ear marmoset), 69 nucleotides long. Lineage: Eukaryota; Metazoa; Chordata; Mammalia; Primates; Cebidae. The record is from Rfam.
GUAGCUAUAGUUUAACAAAAACAUUAGAUUGUGAAUCUAACAAUAGAGGCUCAUAACUUCUUAACUACC